AGAUAAGAAGUUGCCCUAAUGCUUGGGUUCAUACGAAGGCGAUGAAGGAUAUGCGCGAGGCCAAAAGCUUUUUCAAGAUAGCGCCAUGUUGGGUUAUUAUAUCAAAAAGCUUGAGGAAUACUUUGAUAGGAAAUGCCCUCGUCCAAAUAAGGAUGAUGUAUCUUACCUGGAUGAGCAUCUUAAACUGCUUAAGGAAUCCCUUAAGUCUCUUUCUUUUAAAAUAUCCAAACCAACACAACCACUUAAGGAUGUCAAAGUAAUUGAUGGUUCAAAUGACGAACACUUGAGACAGAAUUUCGAUUGGACCAACUAUUUAAAGGAAAUAAUUAUGAAUACGUUUAAACAUUCUGGAUACCUACCACACCAACAGGAGGUGAUUAAUGCAACACUGAAUAAUCUCAAUGUUAUUGCUGUAAUGCCGACUGGAGGUGGAAAAAAGCCUCACCUAUCAGGUAGGAUCGCGAAAAGAAGGAUGGUGAGGUGCCUUCAAAUAUGGAUGAACAGGAUCGCGAAGAGAUUGAAUGUGAGAUGCCUUUAGACAUGGAUGGGCAAGAUUACGAAGAGAAUGUAGAUGAGGUACCUUUACACAUGGAUGGAUGUAAGUGUACAAAAGUAUCAGUAGUAUUACGUGUUCUACAACAUUUGAUUGUUAAAGGAGUUCUUGAGUUGCUUCGAGAGCCAGAUAUAGAGCAAAAGGAAGGUGUGAAGAAGAAGUAUAUGAGAAUGUAUUUAAAUGUAAGGUUCAUUUAUGAAAACAAUUUUUUAUCUAGUUUAUAGUGUUUGCUACAAUGUUUACUAAAUAGU
Molecule: RNA transcript, 804 nt
Organism: Helianthus annuus (common sunflower)
Lineage: Eukaryota; Viridiplantae; Streptophyta; Magnoliopsida; Asterales; Asteraceae
Exons: 3
Source: RefSeq, a predicted model, not a curated record